RNAcentral lists this ribosomal RNA (472 nucleotides) under uncultured bacterium. RNAcentral's name for it is "partial 16S ribosomal RNA". It matches the Rfam family "Bacterial small subunit ribosomal RNA", at positions 331 to 794 of the family's 1533-position model. The record is from RNAcentral.
CCAGACUCCUACGGGAGGCAGCAGUUAGGAAUAUUCGUCAAUGGGGGAAACCCUGAACGAGCAAUGCCGCGUGAAGGAAGACGGUCCUAUGGAUUGUAAACUUCUGUUGUUAAGGAAGAACGACCCAAGUAGGAAAUGACUUGGGAGUGACGGUACUUAUCAAGAAAGCUCCGGCUAACUACGUGCCAGCAGCCGCGGUAAUACGUAGGGGGCAAGCGUUAUCCGGAUUUACUGGGUGUAAAGGGAGCGUAGACGGCAGCGCAAGUCUGAAGUGAAAUGCCGGGGCUUAACCCCGGAACUGCUUUGGAAACUGAGCAGCUAGAGUGCAGGAGAGGUAAGUGGAAUUCCUAGUGUAGCGGUGAAAUGCGUAGAUAUUAGGAGGAACACCAGUGGCGAAGGCGGCUUACUGGACUGUAACUGACGUUGAGGCUCGAAAGCGUGGGGAGCAAACAGGAUUAGAUACCCGAGUAGC